Molecule: transfer RNA, 73 nt
Filed under: Marmota monax (woodchuck)
Lineage: Eukaryota; Metazoa; Chordata; Mammalia; Rodentia; Sciuridae
Description: tRNA.Ala
Rfam family: tRNA
About the family: Transfer RNA (tRNA) molecules are approximately 80 nucleotides in length.
Source: RNAcentral
GGGGAUGUGUCUCACUGGUAGAGAACUUGCCUAGCAUGUGCAAGUAUCCUGGGUUCCAUUCUUAGCAUCCCCA